GGUGAAUAUGUAUUAACCAUGUGAAUGGAUCAAAGUAUUCGAUCAUUGAAGACGACAACACGGGAGAGAUUCACUUUGCAAGGAUCAGCCGAGGAGAUUGUCAAACAGAGUUAAGGAUACCAUGAUGCACCUAAAAAAAUUAAGUUCCAAAUUGGAAAUUUCCACAAGGUAAUUAGAGAAAGAAAGAGAGAUAGGAGAGAGAGAGAGAGAAAUGAGACAAAGAUUUCAGAGAACGUGAGGGUUGAGGACAG
RNAcentral lists this unclassified non-coding RNA (251 nucleotides) under Hevea brasiliensis (rubber tree). Lineage: Eukaryota; Viridiplantae; Streptophyta; Magnoliopsida; Malpighiales; Euphorbiaceae. The record is from RNAcentral.